Molecule: ribosomal RNA, 301 nt
Filed under: uncultured bacterium
Lineage: Bacteria
Description: partial 16S ribosomal RNA
Rfam family: Bacterial small subunit ribosomal RNA
Source: RNAcentral
CAGCGCCGCGGUAAUACGAAGGGGGCUAGCGUUGCUCGGAAUGACUGGGCGUAAAGGGCGCGUAGGCGGUCUGUACAGUUGGGUGUGAAAUUCCUGGGCUUAACCUGGGGGCUGCACCCGAUACGUGCAGGCUUGAGUGUGGAAGAGGGUCGUGGAAUUCCCAGUGUAGAGGUGAAAUUCGUAGAUAUUGGGAAGAACACCGGUGGCGAAGGCGGCGACCUGGUCCAUUACUGACGCUGAGGCGCGAAAGCGUGGGGAGCAAACAGGAUUAGAUACCCGAGUAGUCCAUGUCUCUUAUACA